Molecule: ribosomal RNA, 604 nt
Filed under: uncultured Bacteroidota bacterium
Lineage: Bacteria; Pseudomonadati; Bacteroidota
Description: bacterial SSU rRNA
Rfam family: Bacterial small subunit ribosomal RNA
Source: RNAcentral
CCUGGUUCAGGAUGAACGCUAGCGGCAGGCUUAACACAUGCAAGUCGAGGGGCAGCACGGGUAGCAAUACUUGGUGGCGACCGGCGCAAGGGUGCGUAACGCGUGAGCAACAUGCCCGUAUCAGGGGAAUAAUCCAGGGAAGCUUGGUCUAAUACCCCAUAGCAAUUAUUUGAGGCAUCUUAAAUAAUUUAAAGCUUUGGUGGAUACGGAUUGGCUCGCGUGACAUUAGCUAGAUGGUAAGGUAACGGCUUACCAUGGCUACGAUGUCUAGGGGUUCUGAGAGGAAGAUCCCCCACACUGGAACUGAGACACGGUCCAGACUCCUACGGGAGGCAGCAGUGAGGAAUAUUGGACAAUGGAUGGAAAUCUGAUCCAGCCAUGCCGCGUGCAGGAAGACGGCCCUAUGGGUUGUAAACUGCUUUUGUAUGGGAGCAAUAAGGUCUAUGCGUAGACUGAUGAGAGUACCAUACGAAUAAGCAUCGGCUAACUCCGUGCCAGCAGCCGCGGUAAUACGGGGGAUGCAAGCGUUAUCCGGAUUUAUUGGGUUUAAAGGGUGCGUAGGCGGUUUGAUAAGUCAGCGGUGAAAUAUUUCAGCUUAACUGAA